AUUGAACGCUGGCGGCAGGCCUAACCCAUGCAAGUCGAGCGAGCGGCGGACGGGUGAGUAAUGUAUGGGGAUCUGCACGAUAGAGGGGGAUAAUUACUGGAAACGGUUGCUAAUACCGCAUACUAUCGGAUGAUACCAUAUGGGAUUAGCUAGUAGGAUGGGUAACGGCUUACCUAGGCGACGAUCGCUAGCCGGUCUGAGAGGAUGAUCAGCCAUACGGGGGCUGUGACAGGGCCCAGACUCCUACGGGAUGCAGCAGUGGGGAAUAGUUCGCAAUGGGGGCAACCCUGACGCAGCCAUGCCGCGUGAAUGAAGGAGGCCUUCGGGUUGUAAAGUUCUUUCGGUAGCGGGGCGUUAACUACAGAGGAAGCACCGGCUAACUCCGUGCCAGCAGCCGCGGUAAUAC
RNAcentral lists this ribosomal RNA (406 nucleotides) under uncultured bacterium. RNAcentral's name for it is "partial 16S ribosomal RNA". It matches the Rfam family "Bacterial small subunit ribosomal RNA", at positions 30 to 526 of the family's 1533-position model. The record is from RNAcentral.